GGGUCUUAGUGGCGCACGGGUGAGUAACACGUGGCUGACCUACCUCAAAGUAGGGGAUAACGUUCCGAAAGGAAUGCUAAUACCCUAUAAGCUCCCGGCAUUUAGAAAGUUGGGAGAAAAGUUACGGCGCUUUGAGAGGGGGCUGCGAGCCAUCAGCUAGUUGGUGCGGUAACGGCGUACCAAGGCGACGACGGCUAGGGGGCCUGAGAGGGUGACCCCCCACACUGGAACUGAGAGACGGUCCAG
RNAcentral lists this ribosomal RNA (246 nucleotides) under uncultured bacterium. RNAcentral's name for it is "partial 16S ribosomal RNA". It matches the Rfam family "Bacterial small subunit ribosomal RNA", at positions 87 to 334 of the family's 1533-position model. The record is from RNAcentral.